RNAcentral lists this ribosomal RNA (468 nucleotides) under uncultured bacterium. Its description in RNAcentral is "bacterial SSU rRNA". It matches the Rfam family "Bacterial small subunit ribosomal RNA", at positions 916 to 1381 of the family's 1533-position model. The record is from RNAcentral.
GACGGGGCCCGCACAAGCAGUGGAGUAUGUGGUUUAAUUCGACGCAACGCGAAGAACCUUACCUGGGUUUGACAUGCAGGGGAAAGCUACAGAGAUGUAGCCUCGGCUUCGGUCGCCGCUGCACAGGUGCUGCAUGGCUGUCGUCAGCUCGUGCCGUGAGGUGUUGGGUUAAGUCCCGCAACGAGCGCAACCCUCGUCCUUAGUUGCCAUGCCGCAAGGCGGAACCCUAAGGAGACUGCCGGGGACAACCCGGAGGAAGGUGGGGAUGACGUCAAGUCCUCAUGGCCCUUACAUCCAGGGCUACACACGUACUACAAUGGUCGGUACAGAAGGUUGCAAGACCGCGAGGUGGAGCUAAUCCCAAAAACCGGCCUCAGUUCAGAUUGAAGUCUGCAACUCGACUUCAUGAAGGUGGAAUUGCUAGUAAUCGCAGAUCAGCACGCUGCGGUGAAUACGUUCCCGGGCCUU